RNAcentral lists this ribosomal RNA (1343 nucleotides) under uncultured bacterium. RNAcentral describes it as "16S ribosomal RNA". It matches the Rfam family "Bacterial small subunit ribosomal RNA", at positions 28 to 1378 of the family's 1533-position model. The record is from RNAcentral.
GACGAACGCUGGCGGCGUGCUUAACACAUGCAAGUCGAACGGAAAGGCCCUGCUUUUGUGGGGUGCUCGAGUGGCGAACGGGUGAGUAACACGUGAGUAACCUGCCCUUGACUUUGGGAUAACUUCAGGAAACUGGGGCUAAUACCGGAUAGGAGCUCCUGCUGCAUGGUGGGGGUUGGAAAGUUUCGGCGGUUGGGGAUGGACUCGUGGCUUAUCAGCUUGUUGGUGGGGUAGUGGCUUACCAAGGCUUUGACGGGUAGCCGGCCUGAGAGGGUGACCGGCCACAUUGGGACUGAGAUACGGCCCAGACUCCUACGGGAGGCAGCAGUGGGGAAUAUUGCACAAUGGGCGGAAGCCUGAUGCAGCAACGCCGCGUGCGGGAUGACGGCCUUCGGGUUGUAAACCGCUUUCGCCUGUGACGAAGCGUGAGUGACGGUAAUGGGUAAAGAAGCACCGGCUAACUACGUGCCAGCAGCCGCGGUGAUACGUAGGGUGCGAGCGUUGUCCGGAUUUAUUGGGCGUAAAGGGCUCGUAGGUGGUUGAUCGCGUCGGAAGUGUAAUCUUGGGGCUUAACCCUGAGCGUGCUUUCGAUACGGGUUGACUUGAGGAAGGUAGGGGAGAAUGGAAUUCCUGGUGGAGCGGUGGAAUGCGCAGAUAUCAGGAGGAACACCAGUGGCGAAGGCGGUUCUCUGGGCCUUUCCUGACGCUGAGGAGCGAAAGCGUGGGGAGCGAACAGGCUUAGAUACCCUGGUAGUCCACGCUGUAAACGGUGGGUACUAGGUGUGGGGUCCAUUCCACGGGUUCCGUGCCGUAGCUAACGCUUUAAGUACCCCGCCUGGGGAGUACGGCCGCAAGGCUAAAACUCAAAGGAAUUGACGGGGCCCCGCACAAGCGGCGGAGCAUGCGGAUUAAUUCGAUGCAACGCGUAGAACCUUACCUGGGUUUGACAUGGAUCGGGAGUGCUCAGAGAUGGGUGUGCCUCUUUUGGGGUCGGUUCACAGGUGGUGCAUGGCUGUCGUCAGCUCGUGUCGUGAGAUGUUGGGUUAAGUCCCGCAACGAGCGCAACCCUUGUUCACUGUUGCCAGCACGUUAUGGUGGGGACUCAGUGGAGACCGCCGGGGUCAACUCGGAGGAAGGUGGGGAUGACGUCAAGUCAUCAUGCCCCUUAUGUCCAGGGCUUCACGCAUGCUACAAUGGCUGGUACAGAGAGUGGCGAGCCUGUGAGGGUGAGCGAAUCUCGGAAAGCCGGUCUCAGUUCGGAUUGGGGUCUGCAACUCGACCUCAUGAAGUCGGAGUCGCUAGUAAUCGCAGAUCAGCAACGCUACGGUGAAUACGUUCCCGGG